Molecule: ribosomal RNA, 205 nt
Filed under: uncultured bacterium
Lineage: Bacteria
Description: partial 16S ribosomal RNA
Rfam family: Bacterial small subunit ribosomal RNA
Source: RNAcentral
CGUGUAGGCGGCCAGGUAGGUCCGUUGUGAAAACUCGAGGCUCAACCUCGAGACGCCGGCGGAAACCCUUUGGCUAGAGUCCGGAAGAGGAGAGUGGAAUUCCUGGUGUAGCGGUGAAAUGCGCAGAUAUCAGGAAGAACACCCGUGGCGAAGGCGGCUCUCUGGGACGGUACUGACGCUGAGACGCGAAAGCGUGGGGAGAACA